Otolemur garnettii (small-eared galago) is the source of this 1068-nucleotide RNA transcript. It is a transcript of the gene named phosphopantothenate--cysteine ligase pseudogene, with no coding region annotated. Lineage: Eukaryota; Metazoa; Chordata; Mammalia; Primates; Galagidae. The transcript has a single exon. The record is from RefSeq and is a predicted model, not a curated record.
CAGCCCAGCCCAUUCGGGCUUGCUGAGCCUUGAGGCCGAGGAGAAUGCACUCCCGGGCUUCGCUGCGGCUUUGCGAAACUACCGGGAGGCUGUGGCUGCCGGUACUUUUCUGGCGGUAGAGUUCACCACUGUGGUGGACUAUUUACAUUUGUUGCAGGCUGCAGCCUAGGCGCUCAAUCCGCUAGGCUCUUCUGCGAUGUUUUACCUGGCUGCGGCCGUGUCAGAUUUCUAUGUUCCUGUCUCUGAAAUGCCUGAACACAAGAUCCAGUCAUCUGGGGGCCUAUUGCAGAUAACAAUGAAGAUGGUGCCAAAAAUGCUUUCUCCUUUGGUUAAAGAUUGGGCUCCAAAAGCAUUUAUAAUUUCCUUCAAGUUGGAGACUGACCCCUCCAUUGUAAUUACUCGUGCUCGGAACGCUUUGGAAGUUUAUCAACAUCAAGUGGUGGUGGCUAAUAUCCUUGAGUCACGACAGUCAUUUGUGGUUACUAUAACCAAAGACUCAGAAACCAAGUUAUUGCUAUCAGAAGAAGAAGUAGAAAAAGGCAUAGAGAUAGAAGAGAAGAUAGUGGAUAAUCUUCGGUCUCGACACACAGCUUUUAUAUGUGACAAAAACUGAAAUAAAGCCCUUGUAGGAUCAAAUGGUGAGAACUAGAAUAAAUCCUUUGCUUUCAUAAGUACAGAAAUAAUGAAGGAAAGGGAAAAAGUGAUGUGCAGGCAAAUAAAAUUUGGGAUUUGUCUUUUAAUGACCAAGACACCUGACACACUCACCUGAAUGUCAUCUUGAUUUUGAAAUUGAACCUAAAGCUUUUUCUCACCUUUAACAAAAGAACUUAAUGGGAAUUAUAUAUUCCUCAAAAUCUACAUGGGAGCCUGAAUAUCAGCCUUCUUCAUACUAUGAAAAGAGGAUUAUGGAUGCAUGAGUGAUCAUGCUUGGAAGAUCAAAUAUUUGUUGAGUGCCUACUAUGUGCCAGGUCCUAUGCUGAGCUGUAAGGAUUAAAACGAUGAACAAAUGUGUCUUGUUUGGAAAAUGGAUGUAUAAAAAAGUACAAUAAAGUGUGUGCCCAAAAGCUG